CAGCCGCCACGGUAAUACGGAGGGAGCUAGCGUUGUUCGGAAUUACUGGGCGUAAAGCGCACGUAGGCGGCUUUGUAAGUCAGAGGUGAAAGCCUGGAGCUCAACUCCAGAACUGCCUUUGAGACUGCAUCGCUUGAAUCCAGGAGAGGUGAGUGGAAUUCCGAGUGUAGAGGUGAAAUUCGUAGAUAUUCGGAAGAACACCAGUGGCGAAGGCGGCUCACUGGACUGGUAUUGACGCUGAGGUGCGAAAGCGUGGGGAGCAAGCAGGAUUAGAUACCCGCGUAGUCCCUGUCUCUUAUAC
RNAcentral lists this ribosomal RNA (301 nucleotides) under uncultured bacterium. RNAcentral describes it as "partial 16S ribosomal RNA". It matches the Rfam family "Bacterial small subunit ribosomal RNA", at positions 509 to 807 of the family's 1533-position model. The record is from RNAcentral.